CACAGAGGGAAGCCAGGUGGCGACACCGCGCGGAACCCGAAAGCCGUUCUCAUUCGGAUCGGAGUCUGNAACCCGACUCCGUGAAGCUGGAUUCGCUAGUAAUCGCGCAUCAGCCAUGGCGCGGUGAAUACGUUCCCGGGCCUUGUACGCACCGCCCGUCAAGCCAUGGGAGCCGGGGGUGCUUGAAGUGCGUCGCCGCAAGGCGCGCCCUAGAGCAAAACCGGUGACUGGGGCUAAGUCGUAACAAGGUAUC
RNAcentral lists this ribosomal RNA (253 nucleotides) under uncultured bacterium. RNAcentral's name for it is "partial 16S ribosomal RNA". It matches the Rfam family "Bacterial small subunit ribosomal RNA", at positions 1238 to 1500 of the family's 1533-position model. The record is from RNAcentral.